UUUGUACAUUCUCUCUGUGACUGCGUGGGUUCCCUCUGGGUUGUCUAGUUUCCUCCCACGUCUCAAAUACAUGCGGGCUGGUAUGUUAAUUGGCCACUGUAAAUUGCCUCUAGUGCAGAUUAGUAUUUCCAAUCAGACAACAGAUCAAAGCUUUUGAUAAAAGGCACUUGGGAUCGAAUCCACUGAGUCCAAGCACCUUGAGUACCUCUGCAAAGACAACAUAGUUUGAAGAUAAGGCUACGACAUUGGAACCAUUGAAUCCCUGGCUCUAUUAAGAUGCUGCCUGAUCCACUGAAUGUUUUCAGCAGUUUCUCUUUUUAUCCGCUUUGUAUCCUAAAUUCACUAUUUUGAUCUGAAAAUACAUUAGGAAGCAAGUAUGUAGUGUAAAAUGAAGUCUUGCCUGGCAGUCCUCGUCUGCAUUAGAUUUCCAUUUGAAACUGAACGAAACACGACAAGAAUGUUAUUACAGUGGUUACUAACUGACCCCUGACUUAGACAUUGAAUUGAUUGCUAUUUUAACUUCUUGCCUGCAGUGAAACCAUGUUCG
Pristis pectinata (smalltooth sawfish) is the source of this 547-nucleotide long non-coding RNA. RefSeq lists it as uncharacterized. The transcript has 5 exons. The record is from RefSeq and is a predicted model, not a curated record. NCBI's taxonomy places the organism in Eukaryota, Metazoa, Chordata, Chondrichthyes, Rhinopristiformes, Pristidae.